Long non-coding RNA from Lolium rigidum, 1299 nucleotides. RefSeq lists it as uncharacterized. Lineage: Eukaryota; Viridiplantae; Streptophyta; Magnoliopsida; Poales; Poaceae. The record is from RefSeq and is a predicted model, not a curated record. The transcript is spliced from 5 exons.
CAAGUCGACUCCACUAUAGCCAAAGCGCCCUCCGCCCUCGUCCGCCUCCCUCACAUCCCAUCUCGCGCCCUCCACCCGCGAGCCUGCUGCUCCGCCGGUGACGCUACGCCUCUAGCGCCCUCCACCUCCUCCUCUAGGCCGGCGGGAUGUCUACUCCCCUCCUCCAAGCAGGCCGCCCGUCCCGCUUAUCGCCUCUCCGUCCAGGCACCCGAGUCCCAGAUCGAGGUCGACCUCGUCUCCGCCGUCCGUUCGCCACGCCUCAGCCCUCAAGUAUUCCCUAACCGUUUUAUUCUCCUUCACGUGUAUGUGCUAUUGGCGUGCUGAUGUGUCCUGUGUGUAUGUGCGACUGUGCGUUGGUGUGGUGCUACCUGCAAACUGUUGUAGAUGAAUCAAUCUAUUAGGAUUUGGGCUGCUGCUUGCUAGCCCUGCUCGUGUAUGUGCUACUAGAUUGCUGGUGCUAAGGUUGUAGUAACUACUGACGUGCUAGGCUAAUGAACAUUGAUCCAUUAGUUGAUUUGCUAGGUUGCUAGGUUGCUAUAAUAUUUGUUGCUAGGUUGCUAGGUUGCUGCUGCUACUGAUUAAUUAAUGAAGUUAGCUUAGUUGAUUUGCUAAACCUAAGAUUUGCUUGCAAUUUGUAGGUAUUGUCAAGAAAUGGACAUUGAUCCAGCUGGUAUUCUUACAAUUGUAGCAAAAUUAUAACAUAUUAUAUAGUUUGUUCUCUGUUUGUAUGCUUACCAGCUCCUGUUUUUACAAUUUUACCCUACACGCUUAAGCGAUGCUUAAGCUCGCCUAAGCUGUAGUUCCUCUAGGCUGAGCCUCACCGCUCGCUUAGCGCUCCGCGCUUUUUUGAUCCUUGUAUAAGGUAUGGAAUAGUUCUGACUUGGUGCAGUGAUUAAUUCUUCAUGUGCAGGAACUUGGAGAGAUGAUACCGGUGGACUCUACCUGCAAGGUACCUAUAUUCUUCACAUGACUUGAUACGGUUAUGAAAAAUGACCCUCUCGAAGCGCAACUAUGUGCUCAGUUGAUCGCCGUUAUGCUCGAUAGUGCGUUCUCUGUUAAAGGUGUCACAUGUUUGAUGAAACGCCCAAUAGCAGUGGUAUAUAUUCAUGAAGUUGCAUAUGGUGGCAUCAAACAUGCAUGGGACUAACUUCUUUCACCAGAAUUAUACAGAUACUUAGAUCAACAAGGACAUUCACGAGCUGCCUGUCUCACCACGAUGACAUGAUGUGGUCUCCAUGUCACUGAACAAAGGAAGCCCCGUGGAUCAGGAUUCUUGUCCUAUUUCAUUCCAAUAAAAAG